Molecule: ribosomal RNA, 450 nt
Filed under: uncultured bacterium
Lineage: Bacteria
Description: partial 16S ribosomal RNA
Rfam family: Bacterial small subunit ribosomal RNA
Source: RNAcentral
GUGGGGAAUAUUGGACAAUGGGCGAAAGCCUGAUCCAGCCAUGCCGCGUGUGUGAAGAAGGUCUUCGGAUUGUAAAGCACUUUAAGUUGGGAGGAAGGGCAGUAAGUUAAUACCUUGCUGUUUUGACGUUACCGACAGAAUAAGCACCGGCUAACUUCGUGCCAGCAGCCGCGGUAAUACGAAGGGUGCAAGCGUUAAUCGGAAUUACUGGGCGUAAAGCGCGCGUAGGUGGUUUUGUAAGUUGGAGGUGAAAUCCCCGGGCUCAACCUGGGAACUGCCUCCAAAACUGCAUGACUAGAGUACGGUAGAGGGUAGUUGAAUUUCCUGUGUAGCGGUGAAAUGCGUAGAUAUAGGAAGGAACACCAGUGGCGAAGGCGACUACCUGGACUGAUACUGACACUGAGGUGCGAAAGCGUGGGGAGCAAACAGGAUUAGAUACCCCGGUAGUCC